RNAcentral lists this ribosomal RNA (373 nucleotides) under uncultured organism. RNAcentral describes it as "partial 16S ribosomal RNA". It matches the Rfam family "Bacterial small subunit ribosomal RNA", at positions 527 to 896 of the family's 1533-position model. The record is from RNAcentral.
GUAGGUGGCAAGCGUUGUCCGGAAUUAUUGGGCGUAAAGCGCGCGCAGGCGGUCCUUUAAGUCUGAUGUGAAAGCCCACGGGCUCAACCGUGGAGGGUCAUUGGAAACUGGGGGACUUGAGUACAGAAGAGGAAAGCGGAAUUCCAAGUGUAGCGGUGAAAUGCGUAGAGAUUUGGAGGAACACCAGUGGCGAAGGCGGCUUUCUGGUCUGUAACUGACGCUGAGGCGCGAAAGCGUGGGGAGCAAACAGGAUUAGAUACCCUGGUAGUCCACGCCGCAAACGAUGAGUGCUAAGUGUUAGGGGGUUUCCGCCCCUUAGUGCUGCAGCUAACGCAUUAAGCACUCCGCCUGGGGAGUACGGCCGCAAAGGCUG